UACGUAGGGGGCAAGCGUUGUCCGGAAUUACUGGGCGUAAAGCGCACGCAGGCGGAAUUGUAAGUCCGUUGUAAAAUUCAGAGGCUCAACCUCUGUCUGUCGGCGGAUACUGCAAAUCUAGAGUAUGUGAGAGGGAAGUGGAAUUCCUGGUGUAGCGGUGAAAUGCGUAGAUAUCAGGAGGAACUCCGGUGGCGAAGGCGACUUCCUGGCACAAGACUGACGCUCAUGUGCGAAAGCUAGGGUAGCGAACGGGAUUAGAUACCCCGGUAGU
Molecule: ribosomal RNA, 271 nt
Filed under: uncultured prokaryote
Description: partial 16S ribosomal RNA
Rfam family: Bacterial small subunit ribosomal RNA
Source: RNAcentral